RNAcentral lists this ribosomal RNA (432 nucleotides) under uncultured bacterium. RNAcentral's name for it is "partial 16S ribosomal RNA". It matches the Rfam family "Bacterial small subunit ribosomal RNA", at positions 29 to 507 of the family's 1533-position model. The record is from RNAcentral.
AACGAACGCUGGCGGCAUGCCUAAUACAUGCAAGUCGAACGAGAUCUUCGGAUCUAGUGGCGCACGGGUGCGUAACGCGUGGGAAUCUGCCCUUGGGUUCGGAAUAACUUCUGGAAACGGAAGCUAAUACCGGAUGAUGACGUAAGUCCAAAGAUUUAUCGCCCAAGGAUGAGCCCGCGUAGGAUUAGGUAGUUGGUGAGGUAAAGGCUCACCAAGCCGACGAUCCUUAGCUGGUCUGAGAGGAUGAUCAGCCACACUGGGACUGAGACACGGCCCAGACCCCACGGGGGGGCGGCGGAAGGGAAAAUGGGACAAGGGGCGAAGGCCUGACCAGGAAAGGCGGGGUGAGUGUUGAGGGCUUUGGGGUGGUAAACCUCUUUACCCGGGAUGAUAAUGACAGUACCGGGAGAAUAAGCGCCGGCUAACUCCGUG